This 265-nucleotide unclassified non-coding RNA is filed under the name Hevea brasiliensis (rubber tree). Lineage: Eukaryota; Viridiplantae; Streptophyta; Magnoliopsida; Malpighiales; Euphorbiaceae. The record is from RNAcentral.
AUCGAAUUCUGUAUCCAAUAUUAGUAGUAUCUGUACGUAUUCUGGAAUAAAAAGAUGAGCUAGCUAAGGUCGAUCAAUCACCAUGCAUGCAUGUGUGUGCAUCCAUGGUUGAUCGGCCCGGCCGGUCAGGCUAGCUAGCUUUCUUCUUCUUGUGUGUUCAUCUCGUACGUUUUGCUCCUUCUCGAGGUGUACGUGUACCAGAGAGAGCUAGCUAGAGAUUCUACAUGCAUGUACUGCAACUCCUUGUACUACGUGCUUGUUUUGG